RNAcentral lists this long non-coding RNA (610 nucleotides) under Strigops habroptila (Kakapo). Its description in RNAcentral is "lncRNA (ENSSHBG00005020178.1)". Lineage: Eukaryota; Metazoa; Chordata; Aves; Psittaciformes; Psittacidae. The record is from RNAcentral.
AGAUUUGAUGUUAUUUAUUUAAGGGGCUUUUGCAGUACAAAACAUUACAAGUGUGUUUUCUACAUUGAGAGAGGAAAUAAAAACCCUAAAAAAAUUGUCAAAACCAAUUUGAAAUAAAUACAUAUAAAACUGCUUUACAAUCAGGGAGUUAUAAAUACAUUGUGAACUGAGUAGUUCCAAAUUGUGUUCACUUGUGAAGUGCAUAACACCACUACAAAACCAGUCCUUUAUUUUAAAACCUGCCAUUCGUAUCAAAACAUUGAUUCUUAAAUACAGAGAGAUGAUACUAGUACAAAAACCACACAACUGAAUACCACAAAGCAUCCACUGCACACGUAUUUACUGCUUUAUCUCUGUCACAUCACAAUCUCCUGCCUGCUGCAAGGUUACCAAGAACCAGACAACUUCAUCUGAACAGAUCUUUAUCAGUUCCAAGGCACCUUCCUCCCCAAGACACGGUUGAACACCUACUGUUUUGUAAAGCUGGGCCUUCAGUCGAUAGGAGUUGUAUUCCAUUUUCCUCUUCUCUUCCUCUCGCUUUUUCUGCACCUCUGGCAGCUGCUCAUAGAUCCUUCAAUAUCUUUGAACCAUUUCAUCCCUUGGAAUUGUU